RNAcentral lists this small RNA (1068 nucleotides) under Histoplasma capsulatum var. duboisii H88. RNAcentral describes it as "Histoplasma capsulatum H88 hypothetical RNA". The record is from RNAcentral. Lineage: Eukaryota; Fungi; Ascomycota; Eurotiomycetes; Onygenales; Ajellomycetaceae.
AUGGGAUGAAAGUGCAGUUCAGCGCACACCUUCUGCCGCUGGUCCAGCGCUCGCCUAGGUCAUUUUGUAUUGCCACAAUUUCUGGUCUCCGGCCUCUGCCCAUUAUUCUCAGUAAGUCAUAAAACAAAUUAAUAUAUUCGUCUAAUAGAGUACACAUAGGCAGCUAUAUAUGUAUACAUGCAUGUGUAUAUGACAAGACCUAUUAAAAAAAGAUACCCUCUCUCCGCAAGGGUAUGCUAGAUAGUGAUUAAACUCCCGAACCGAACCAAACCAAACCAAAACCAAGUCCAAAUUCAUACCAGAAUAAACCCAUUGUCCCCUCCUUUUGCCGAUUUAGAAGAAAGGGAGGAUGGGGGGAGGAAGGGGAGAGAAAGAAUCCUAUGGAACAGAACUCGAAGAAACGGACUGCGGAUUAGAGUUAACAAAAAUGAAGCAACCAAAAUCAAAAUCAAAUCAAAUGCAUCUGCAAUUUCCUCAUUGUUACGGAAUUCCUAGCCCUUUGCACCGUUUUGCCGCAUAUUAGGUUCAUAAUAUGUCAAUUGGUUUUUAAAAACAAAUUACGUUUUGAUGGAAAAGGCCGGAUAAGGCGCGGUGGAGGGGAGUGGCGGAAUCCGGUCUAUCAAAUGGGAUGAAUAUGAUAGUAUUGAUAUUUAACCCAACCAUCAUAUCAUAUCUGCCUCUUUGCCCUCGGAGGAAAAAAGAUAGGCCCGAAAAAUUAGAAGUGAGAAGCGACGAAGAAAUGUCACCAUCAUCAAAGUGAUUUCUCGUCUUCCGUCAACUUAAUAUCCAUCACCCUCUUUCCCCCCAGCGUCUUUAUCUUCGAGGCCAAUUUCCCCGCCUCAUGGAGUGCCUCUAUAUCAUCUCCGCCGCCGAUGGUCAUACCAUUGACCAGAACGUUAGGCACGGUUCUGCGCCCCGUGUUGCGCGCAAGGACCUCUUGUAGCUGCUCCCCGAGCGGGUGUAUAUCGAGCUCGACGACGAAAGGGGGGGGGAUGAUGCUGUGUUUGUUCAGGAGGAUGGAUUUGGCUUUUUCGCUGUAGGGGCAGUAGGAUUUGGAGAAUAUUAUGA